RNAcentral lists this ribosomal RNA (253 nucleotides) under uncultured bacterium. RNAcentral's name for it is "partial 16S ribosomal RNA". It matches the Rfam family "Bacterial small subunit ribosomal RNA", at positions 524 to 776 of the family's 1533-position model. The record is from RNAcentral.
UACAGAGGUCUCAAGCGUUGUUCGGAUUCAUUGGGCGUAAAGGGUGUGUAGGUGGCGCCGUAAGUGGGGUGUGAAAUCUCGGGGCUUAACUCCGAAACUGCAUACCAUACUGCGGUGCUUGAGGACUGGAGAGGAGACUGGAAUUCAUGGUGUAGCAGUGAAAUGCGUAGAGAUCAUGAGGAAGACCAGUGGCGAAGGCGGGUCUCUGGACAGUUCCUGACACUGAGACACGAAGGCCAGGGGAGCAAACGGG